RNAcentral lists this ribosomal RNA (202 nucleotides) under uncultured bacterium. RNAcentral describes it as "partial 16S ribosomal RNA". It matches the Rfam family "Bacterial small subunit ribosomal RNA", at positions 1302 to 1500 of the family's 1533-position model. The record is from RNAcentral.
AGGCUGAAAUUCGCCUUCAUGAAGCCGGAAUUGCUAGUAAUGGCAGGUCAGCAUACUGCCGUGAAUACGUUCCCGGGGCCUUGUACACACCGCCCGUCACACCAUGAGAGUUGGGGAUACCCGAAGCCUGUGAGCUAACUAUUUAUAGGAGCAGCAGUCGAAGGUAGAAUCAAUGAUUGGGGUGAAGUCGUAACAAGGUAUC